This 253-nucleotide ribosomal RNA is filed under the name uncultured bacterium. Its description in RNAcentral is "partial 16S ribosomal RNA". It matches the Rfam family "Bacterial small subunit ribosomal RNA", at positions 524 to 776 of the family's 1533-position model. The record is from RNAcentral.
UACAGAGGUCUCAAGCGUUGUUCGGAUUCAUUGGGCGUAAAGGGUGUGUAGGUGGCGCCGUAAGUGGGGUGUGAAAUCUCGGGGCUUAACUCCGAAACUGCAUUCCAUACUGCGGUGCUUGAGGACUGGAGAGGAGACUGGAAUUCAUGGUGUAGCAGUGAAAUGCGUAGAGAUCAUGAGGAAGACCAGUGGCGAAGGCGGGUCUCUGGGCAGUAACUGACGCUGAGGAGCGAAAGCGUGGGGAGCGAACAGG